AUGGUUGGGGCAGAUAGAAGCGAUUGCUUCAAGCACUUCUAUGAAAGAAUUAAGGAGAGAUUGAAAGGAUGGAAGGAAAAGCAACUCUCUACUGGGGGUAAAGAAAUUCUUAUCAAAGCGGUGGCCCAGGCCAUUCCAGUGUUUGCUAUGUCGGUGUUUAGCUUACCAAAUGGGAUAUCCAAAGAUUUCACUGAUUUAAUUGCCCAAUUUUGGUGGGGUGAUGAAGACCACAAGAAGAUGCAUUGGUAUACAUGGUGGAAGCCAUGUUACCCGAAAUGUGAGGGAAUGGGGUCCAGGGACCUUUAUUCCUUUAAUCUGGCCAAGCUCUCAAAACAGGUUUGGCGACUCAUAGAUGACCAGGAGUCUCCCUGUGCAAGGAUUUUGAAGGCAAAAUAUUAUCCUAACUGUAGUUUACUCCUGAAGGAAAUAUGCCCUAGAGGCAAUAAUAAAGUUGUUAUUUUAUAUUUCCUUGUUCAUGAUAAAGGUUUACUAUUCAUGCUAGAACCGUAUUGA
Molecule: ribosomal RNA, 513 nt
Filed under: Triticum aestivum (bread wheat)
Lineage: Eukaryota; Viridiplantae; Streptophyta; Magnoliopsida; Poales; Poaceae
Description: partial small subunit ribosomal RNA
Source: RNAcentral